CUGCCAUUUUAAGUGUGGGCAAGACGCUUCUUGUCCCUGUCUGAGGCAGAGGGUUCGGGAAGUGGCUCGUUUUGGUGCUGUUCUCCCAUCAGCAACGCAAGAGCUGUCAGCCUUGCCUGUCUGAACUAAGGUGUGGAUGUCUGGGCAUGCAUCAGGAUGGAGGUAGAAUUUCAUCUAACAGAAAGAACAAGAGGGCGAAUUGAGAACCCAGAGAAGACAGAGCAUUUGGGAACUGAUGCCCUCUCUGGAAUAUUAAAAGACCUUGUGAAAACCUCAGGAGUUAUGUCUGCAUGGAUGGGUGUGGAGAGUUGCUUGCCUACUCUUGCACUUGGAGCUACCAGGAUGCAGGCCAGGUCUGAUAUGAAAACUCAAACUGCAGCGGUGUGACACCGUGAUCAUUUACCAUAACUGCUGUCUCUGCAGGACUUAUCAACACAGCCCUGAACUUACAGUUAAUGCAACUACCUGACAUCCAGACCAGCCUGGCUUACAUUCAGCCAGCUCAGGCCACAAACAACGGCACGCACCACUCUGCAUGGACACUUUCGGUUAGCUGCAGGAGCCAGCUCUUACAUGGCUUCUGCAGCAGUCGUACACGGAUACAGAAUGAAUUGCCAGUCAUUGCACAGUGGAAGCAAACCAUCCCUGUGACAACAACACUCAGUACAUAAUUUCGUAUUUUAUAGUAUAUAAUCCCUUGGAUUGUUCAAAUAAUAUGUAAAAAUUACAGUAUAUUGAAACAAAAGAAAAACAUCAAACCCGGAGAUCUCGAAACGGACAUAUUUAAAAUUACUUUGAAAUGAAAUUAAGCUUUUCAAAGACAAAUGGGUUUCUUGUAGCUCCAAAACAAAAUAGUAAGACACAAAAUCCAGACUGACUUGUGCAGAAAUGAUUUAAGUGGUGAAUGGGGAGGAGAUGGUCAUAGAGAGCUGAGCUGAAUAAAGUACAUUUGCAAGUUCUUGAAAAACUCACCUAGGAGGCAGUCCUGCAGAAAAUCUGUAAACUCCUUAUGACUCAACUUGAUCCAGAUAAGGUUUUCAUAGGGGUAUAAAGGAAAAAACCUCUGAUCUUGGUUGCUGUGGUAGAAAAUUGAGUAAUAAACAAUGGUUCUGUUAAUGUCUUAA
This is a long non-coding RNA of Falco peregrinus (peregrine falcon), 1124 nucleotides long. RefSeq lists it as uncharacterized. The record is from RefSeq and is a predicted model, not a curated record. Lineage: Eukaryota; Metazoa; Chordata; Aves; Falconiformes; Falconidae. The transcript has 2 exons.